Molecule: transfer RNA, 70 nt
Filed under: Mesocricetus auratus (golden hamster)
Lineage: Eukaryota; Metazoa; Chordata; Mammalia; Rodentia; Cricetidae
Rfam family: tRNA
About the family: Transfer RNA (tRNA) molecules are approximately 80 nucleotides in length. Their secondary structure includes four short double-helical elements and three loops (D, anti-codon, and T loops).
Source: Rfam by way of RNAcentral
GUGGAGCUAGCUUAGUCGGUAGAGUGCUUGCCUAAUGUGCAGAGACCUGGGUUGGAUCCCCAGCACCACA